CAGUAGCCGCGGGAAUACGAAGGGUGCAAGCGUUACUCGGAAUUACUGGGCGUAAAGCGUGCGUAGGUGGUGGUUUAAGUCCGUUGUGAAAGUCCUGGGCUCAACCUGGGAAUUGCAGUGGAUACUGGGUCACUAGAGUGUGGUAGAGGAUAGUGGAAUUUCCGGUGUAGCAGUGAAAUGCGUAGAGAUCGGAAGGAACAUCUGUGGCGAAGGCGACUAUCUGGGCCAACACUGACACUGAGGCACGAAAGCGUGGGGAGCAAACAGGAUUAGAUACCCCCGUAGUCCCUGUCUCUUAUAU
RNAcentral lists this ribosomal RNA (301 nucleotides) under uncultured bacterium. RNAcentral describes it as "partial 16S ribosomal RNA". It matches the Rfam family "Bacterial small subunit ribosomal RNA", at positions 509 to 809 of the family's 1533-position model. The record is from RNAcentral.